Molecule: unclassified non-coding RNA, 1937 nt
Filed under: Mantidactylus grandidieri (Grandidier's Madagascar frog)
Lineage: Eukaryota; Metazoa; Chordata; Amphibia; Anura; Mantellidae
Description: partial contains 12S ribosomal RNA, tRNA-Val, and 16S ribosomal RNA
Rfam family: Bacterial large subunit ribosomal RNA
Source: RNAcentral
UAACUCACAUCAACAAGCGCCAGGGAAUUACGAGCACAAGCUUAAAACCCAAAGGAUUUGACGGUGUCCCAUCCCCCUAGAGGAGCCUGUUCUAUAAUCGAUGAUCCUCGAUAUACCUCACCAUUUUUUGCUUUUUCAGCCUGUAUACCUCCGUCGCAAGCUUACCAUUUGAAUGCCCCAAAGUAAGUUCAACGGGCCCCCCCGCCAAUACGUCAGGUCAAGGUGCAGCCAAUAAAAUGGAAAGCAAUGGGCUACAAUUUCUAACAUAGAACAAACGAAAAACUACAUGAAACAUAGUCAUGAAGGCGGAUUUAGUAGUAAAAAAAGACUAGCGAGCUUCUUUUAACAAAAGGCCCCGGGACGUGUACAAACCGCCCGUCACCCUCUUCGAUAGCACCCAACUUAGCUACAUAACACCUGCUCAGCACCUUAGAAGAGGCAAGUCGUAACAUGGUAAGUGUACCGGAAGGUGCACUUGGUUAAACAAAGUGUAGCUUAACUAAAGCCUUUCGCUUACACCGAAAAAACACCUGUUAAACCCAGGUCACUUUGAGCCCUAAAUCUAGCCUAUAAAUUUUCUAUACACACCACCAAUAGCCAAAACAUAAUAAAACAUUUUAACUGUUUAGUAAAGGCGAUCAAAAAAUAUAUUAGCGCCACAGAUCACGUACCGCAAGGGAAAAAUGAAAUAGAAUUGAAACAACACUAAAGCACCAAACAGUAGAGCUUACCCCUCGUACCUUUUGCAUCAUGGUCUAGCUAGUCUAUUCAAGCAAAACGAUUUUUAGUNUGAACCCCCGAAACUAGGUGAGNUACUUCGAAACAGUCUCAAGGACUAACCCGUCUNUGUCGCAAAAGAGUGGGAUGAUUUCCAAGUAGGGGCAACAAACCAACCGCACCUAGAGAUAGCUGGUUACUCAAGAAAAGAAUAUAAGUUCAACCUUAAGCUUUUUAAUUACACAAAAACCCCAUUAAACUUAAGAGUUACUCAAAUAAGGCACAGCUUAUUUGAAACAGGAUACAACCUACAACACAGGGUAAAACUCAUGAACAAGUAACAAGUGGGCCUAAGAGCAGCCACCUCCAAAAAGCGUUAAAGCUUAACACUUAUUCUAAAUUAAUAUCCCCACCUUCCCCAAACCCUUCACCAAUAUUGAGUAACUCCAUAAGAUUAUGGAAGUUAUAAUGCUAGAACUAGUAACAAGAAAUAGACUUUCUCCAAAAUGCAAGCCUAAGCCACAAUAGACAACCUAUUGGCAAUUAACGCAAAUGAAAAUAUUAUAGUAACUCUAACAAGAAAAACCUAUACCCAUAUACGUCUCCCUUACACCAGAGCAUUAAUGGAAAGAUUAAAAGAAAAAGAAGGAACUCGGCAAACCCACAGCCCCGCCUGUUUACCAAAAACAUCGCCUCUUGACACAAUAUAAGAGGUCCAGCCUGCCCAGUGACACAGUUUAACGGCCACGGUAUCUAACCGUGCGAAGGUAGCAUAAUCACUUGUUCUUUAAAUGAGGACUUGUAUCAACGGCAUCACGAGGGCUUACUGUCUCCUUUCUCUAAUCAGUGAAACUAAUCUCCCCGUGAAGAAGCGGGGAUACUACCAUAAGACGAGAAGACCCCAUGGAGCUUUAAACCCAAUUACACCCUUACUUUUCACACCCACUCAACCAACAGGGCCCUGUACGCUUGGUUUUAGGUUGGGGUGACCGCGGAGUAAAGUUAAACCUCCACGAUGAACGGGAAUACCCUCUUAUCCAAGAGCCACACCUCUAAGAAUUAGCACACUAACAUAAAAUGAUCCGAUACUCGAUCAACGAACCAAGUUACCCUGGGGAUAACAGCGCAAUCCAUUUCAAGAGCCCCUAUCGACAAAUGGGUUUACGACCUCGAUGUUGGAUCAGGAUAUCCCAGUGGUGCAGCAGCUACUAAAGGUUCGU